GACGAACGCUGGCGGCGUGCUUAACACAUGCAAGUGGAGCGACGAACCGGAGCUUGCCCCGGGGCAGAGCCGCGAACGGUGAGUAACACGUGGGUAACCUGCCUCAAUGAUUGGGACAACCCGGGGAAACUCGGGCUAAUACCAAAUGUGUUCACUCCUUCUAAGGGGAGUGAGGAAAGGAAGCUCCGGCCUCCGCAUUGAGAUGGGCCCGCGGCCCAUUAGCUUGUGGUGAGGUAACGGCUCACCAAGGCUUCGAUGGGUAGCUGGUCUGAGAGGACGAUCAGCCACACUGGGACUGAGACACGGCCCAGACUCCUACGGGAGGCAGCAGUGGGAAUCUUGCACAAUGCGCGAAAGCGUGAUGCAGCAACGCCGCGUGGGGGAAGAC
Molecule: ribosomal RNA, 388 nt
Filed under: uncultured bacterium
Lineage: Bacteria
Description: bacterial SSU rRNA
Rfam family: Bacterial small subunit ribosomal RNA
Source: RNAcentral